Ribosomal RNA from Pseudomassariella vexata, 120 nucleotides. The record is from Rfam. NCBI's taxonomy places the organism in Eukaryota, Fungi, Ascomycota, Sordariomycetes, Amphisphaeriales, Pseudomassariaceae.
ACAUACGGCCACAGGCUCCAGAGAACUCGGGAUCCCGUCCGCUCUCCCUUAGAUAAGCUGGACACUGCUGGAUUAGUAGUUGGGUGGGUGACCAUCAGCGAAUACCCAGUGUUGUAUGUU